RNAcentral lists this ribosomal RNA (483 nucleotides) under uncultured bacterium. Its description in RNAcentral is "partial 16S ribosomal RNA". It matches the Rfam family "Bacterial small subunit ribosomal RNA", at positions 30 to 507 of the family's 1533-position model. The record is from RNAcentral.
UUGAACGCUGGCGGAAUGCUUUACACAUGCAAGUCGAACGGCAGCACGGGGGCAACCCUGGUGGCGAGUGGCGAACGGGUGAGAAAUACAUCGGAACGUGCCCGGUCGUGGGGGAUAACGUAGCGAAAGUUACGCUAAUACCGCAUACGAUCUGAGGAUGAAAGCGGGGGACCUUCGGGCCUCGCGCGAUCGGAGCGGCCGAUGUCAGAUUAGGUAGUUGGUGGGGUAAAGGCCUACCAAGCCGACGAUCUGUAGCUGGUCUGAGAGGACGACCAGCCACACUGGGACUGAGACACGGCCCAGACUCCUACGGGAGGCAGCAGUGGGGAAUUUUGGACAAUGGGCGCAAGCCUGAUCCAGCCAUUCCGCGUGCAGGACGAAGGCCUUCGGGUUGUAAACUGCUUUUGUAUGGAACGAAAAGGCUCUGGCUAAUACCUGGGGCUCAUGACGGUACCGUAAGAAUAAGCACCGGCUAACUACGUG